AAAAUUGGGCUGACUAACUUCUUAAAUUGCAGCUAUGAGCAGAUAGGUAAAAUCCCUUGAGGAGCCUCAACGCUAAUAGCCAGAGUUAAUAAAAAUAUGCAUGCAUACCUGUUGCCAAGUAUUUACCAACCAAGCUUUAAGUAAUUGCCGUCUGCAUGCCUACCUUGGUUCCACAUCAUCAUCAUCAUCAGCCCAAGCGCAGAUAUUAGCUCACUGCCAGCAUCCCGGACCGUGUGAGCGCUAGCGUGGGCGAGUGGUGCUGUCAUACGAGUGGUGACGCGCCACAGUCACACUCAGCAGGGGUGUCGUCUCACCAAACCCAAAAGCUCGCCUGUGAACCCGUCUCCUUCCUUCAGCCUGUGUUGCCUGUGAUCCACUUAUCACACCAUCCCUCCAACCAGGCGUCGUCUUUCUGUUGGCAGCACAGUUUCCAGGCAGCAUCUCUGUGUUAUUGUGAGCAGCUCCAGUCGUUAAAUCAUCCACAACCAAGUCAAUCUCAUCCUCUUUGAGAGACACGAACAGGAUACCCGCACUGAGAAUGACAUUAUAGCGUGACUUGUAGAACUCGCUGGCAGCUACGCACACACCUCCAAGGAAUAACAGCCCCACACUGAGGAUGGGGAAGAGGCUGGAGGCCCGUACUGCUCCUG
This is a long non-coding RNA of Betta splendens (Siamese fighting fish), 650 nucleotides long. RefSeq lists it as uncharacterized. The transcript is spliced from 6 exons. The record is from RefSeq and is a predicted model, not a curated record. NCBI's taxonomy places the organism in Eukaryota, Metazoa, Chordata, Actinopteri, Anabantiformes, Osphronemidae.